CUGGCUCAGGAUGAACGCUGGCGGCGUGCCUAACACAUGCAAGUCGAACGAGGUUACUGAGAUUGGAGAUUCGUCAAAGAUCUUUUAACCGAGUGGCGGAUGGGUGAGUAACGCGUGGAGAACCUGCCUUAUCAGGGGGAUAACAACUGGAAACGGUUGACAAUACCGCAUACGCUCAUGAGAUCGCAUGAUCUUGUGAGGAAAGAUUUAUCGGAUAAGGAUGGCUCCGCGUCGGAUUAGCCAGUUGGCGGGGUAACGGCCCACCAAAGCGACGAUCCGUAGCCGGCCUGAGAGGGCGACCGGCCACAUUGGGACUGAGACACGGCCCAGACUCCUACGGGAGGCAGCAGGUGGGGGAUAUUGCACAAUGGGGGGAACCCUGAUGCAGCGACGCCGCGUGGAGGAAGAAGUAUUUCGGUAUGUAAACUCCUAUCAGCAGGGAAGAAAAUGACGGUACCUGACUAAGAAGCCCCGGCUAACUACGUGCCAGCCGCGGC
RNAcentral lists this ribosomal RNA (497 nucleotides) under uncultured bacterium. RNAcentral describes it as "bacterial SSU rRNA". It matches the Rfam family "Bacterial small subunit ribosomal RNA", at positions 19 to 518 of the family's 1533-position model. The record is from RNAcentral.